This 253-nucleotide ribosomal RNA is filed under the name uncultured bacterium. RNAcentral's name for it is "partial 16S ribosomal RNA". It matches the Rfam family "Bacterial small subunit ribosomal RNA", at positions 524 to 776 of the family's 1533-position model. The record is from RNAcentral.
UACAGAGGUCUCAAGCGUUGUUCGGAUUCAUUGGGCGUAAAGGGUGCGUAGGCGGCGCGGUAAGUCGGGUGUGAAAUCUCGGAGCUUAACUUCGAAACUGCAUUCGAUACUGCCGUGCUUGAGGACUGGAGAGGAGACUGGAAUUUACGGUGUAGCGGUGAAAUGCGUAGAGAUCGGGAGGAAGGCCGGUGGCGAAGGCGGCGCUCUGGAACAUUUCUGACGCUGAGGCUCGAAAGCGUGGGGAGCAAACAGG